RNAcentral lists this ribosomal RNA (330 nucleotides) under uncultured Flavobacterium sp. RNAcentral describes it as "bacterial SSU rRNA". It matches the Rfam family "Bacterial small subunit ribosomal RNA", at positions 1 to 337 of the family's 1533-position model. Lineage: Bacteria; Pseudomonadati; Bacteroidota; Flavobacteriia; Flavobacteriales; Flavobacteriaceae. The record is from RNAcentral.
CGCUGAGUUUGAUCCUGGCUCAGGAUGAACGCUAGCGGCAGGCUUAACACAUGCAAGUCGAGGGGUAUUGGUUUUCGGACCAAGAGACCGGCGCACGGGUGCGUAACGCGUAUGCAAUCUACCUUUUGCAGAGGGAUAGCCCAGAGAAAUUUGGAUUAAUACCUCAUAGUAUGUAGCGUUGGCAUCAACACUACAUUAAAGUCACAACGGUGAAAGAUGAGCAUGCGUCCCAUUAGCUAGAUGGUAAGGUAACGGCUUACCAUGGCGACGAUGGGUAGGGGUCCUGAGAGGGAGAUCCCCCACACUGGGUACUGAGACACGGACCAGACU